UACGUAGGGGCGAGCGUUGUCCGGAUUUAUUGGGCGUAAAGAGCUCGUAGGCGGCUUGUUGCGUCGACCGUGAAACCCGGGCUCAACUUCGGCUUGCGGUCGAUACGAGCGGCUAGAGUUCGGUAGGGAGACUGAAUCCUGUGUAGCGGUGAAUGCGCAGAUAUCAGGAGGAACACCGGUGGCGAAGGCGGUCUCUGGCCGAUACUGACGCUGAGGAGCGAAGCGUGGAGAGCGAACAGG
RNAcentral lists this ribosomal RNA (240 nucleotides) under uncultured bacterium. RNAcentral's name for it is "partial 16S ribosomal RNA". It matches the Rfam family "Bacterial small subunit ribosomal RNA", at positions 524 to 776 of the family's 1533-position model. The record is from RNAcentral.